AUUGAACGCUGGCGGCAGGCCUAACACAUGCAAGUCGAACGGGUGGCGGACGGGUGAGUAGUGCAUGGGCAUGUUGCUUAUGGAGGGCGUCCACUACGGGAAACUGUAACUACUACCGCGUACCAUAGGUUGGGCCCAUGUGGGAUGAUCUAGUAGGUGGGGUAAAGGCACACCUAGGCGACGAUAUCUAGCUGGUCUGAGAGGAUGAUCGGCCACACUGGAACUGAGACACGGCCCAGACUCCUACGGGAGGCAGCAGUGGGGAAUAUUGGACAAUGGGCGCAAGCCUGAUGCAGCCAUGCCGCGUGUAUGAAGAAGGUCUUCGGGUUGUAAAGCACUUUAAGUGGGGAGGCGUUACCCGCAGAAGAAGCACCGGCUAACUACGUGCCAGCAGCCGCGGUAAUAC
This 406-nucleotide ribosomal RNA is filed under the name uncultured bacterium. RNAcentral's name for it is "partial 16S ribosomal RNA". It matches the Rfam family "Bacterial small subunit ribosomal RNA", at positions 30 to 526 of the family's 1533-position model. The record is from RNAcentral.